GCAUAGUAAUGGAUUUAUGGAGGAGUCUGGUAUGUGACUGCUCCAUAGUGUAAGCUAUGCAAGACCAAAACCACUGCUCCGAACCAUUGGCAUGCUUCUUACCAUAGGCCUGAUCACUGAAGUGAGCGGUACAUUU
Non-coding RNA from Pelobates cultripes (western spadefoot toad), 136 nucleotides. Lineage: Eukaryota; Metazoa; Chordata; Amphibia; Anura; Pelobatidae. The record is from the annotation of a GenBank genome assembly.